Molecule: long non-coding RNA, 1618 nt
Filed under: Homo sapiens (human)
Lineage: Eukaryota; Metazoa; Chordata; Mammalia; Primates; Hominidae
Description: non-protein coding lnc-TMEM105-4:3
Source: RNAcentral
CUUUGUGUUCUCUCCUCCCGGGGAGAGGCCGCGCCGCGCCUCCGCGUCUGCCCGCGCCGGGCUUCGGGGGCCUGGGGAGCCUGAGGCGGCCAGGAAGUGGGGCGAGGAAGGGCGGCCACACGGCCCGAGCUGGGAGUCCCACAGUCCCGCAGCGGCGACGCCGCCACCCGCCGAGUGCCGAGGCCCGGGGCCCACUCCCAGCCCAGCUCCAGGAGAGGCCGCGCCGGAGGACCGCGAGGACGGCGCCGCAGCGCCAGGUCGGGCUGAGACCAGGACUCUGGCCCGUCUGCCUCCCUCCGGCGUCGUCUCCGGGAGCGCGGGCGCGGUGGGGCCUGCAGGCCGGGCUGGGACCAGGCGCGCCUUGGGGCGCGAGUGGCUCGGCCGUCGCCGCAGAACCCGCUCCCUGCGAAACAGCCGCACCCGCUCCCUGGGAGAGUCAUGAGAACUGGGGUCGCGCCUGACCCCCGCGCCCGAAGAAAACCAGCCCGCGGACCCCGCCACACGGGCCGUGACCCGAGCCCCGCGCGCCGUCCCGAACGCGCGCGGUGAAAACGCCCCGCUGCGCCGGCCUUGCUCGGUCCCCCUCCUCCACCCCCACUUCUCCGGAAAAAAAAAAUUCUGAAUUGGGAACGAAGACCCGAAAAACUCGCCAUGACCAUUCCCCUCCCCGGCCCCUAGCUUCGGCCCGGAAGGCCCCUCAGGGCAGCGGCCGUGGGUACCACGACCCGGCCAGUUCCCCUCGCCGCGGACCGACCGGGCAGGGCCAACCCAGGACUGUUCCGGGGAGGGGAGCAGGGUAGGGGAGCGAAUGUUGGGGUUCGUUCGUGGGUCACCCAGAACUGGGCGCACGCUGGCGGCGCCCGGACUUCGCCUACUGUCCGCCCGGUGCCACCCGCGCGGCUCGCGCCAGACGCAGCCUGGCGGUCCCUGUCCUGUCUUCGAGUAUUUGUUUUUAAUGCUGGGUGUCGAUCGAGACAACAAGCGCUCAGAGCAAAGCAAGGAUGCAUUACGGGGGUAAUUUUAAACCGAUCGAUAAGAUUUUUCAGAGAAAAAAAAAUCGCUCAUAGUCCAUAUUUUUUAAGAAAAAAAAAAGCCUCAACAUUUUAACGGAUUUUGUUAAAAGGGAAGAUAUAUACUUCUUAACAUCACAAUCCUGAAUUUCUUUUGCUAAAAAAAAUGUAAAACCCCAAAGCCAGAAUAAAAAAUAAAAUAAUAAUAAAAAUACAAAAACAAAAAAAAAAUGAAAGCAAUUUCAGUUACUUACUGGAGGCUGUUUCCUGGAUACAACUGAAUGCAAUACAAUUAAAUCAGUAAAUGUGACUUUGUUUUGUAUUCCUAUUGGUAUUUUCAAUGUGCUGACUGUUGCACUGUAAAUGCACCGCUUCCACAACAACGACUCUAGCGAGCCCAUCCAGAGCGGCUCUCAAACCUGCAGCCUGGCGCGGCGAGCCACGGGCCCUGCAUACUAAUAAGCUCGUGCCACUCAGCCCGGAACAGCCAGCGCGCUGAUUGGCCGCGCAGCCCUCCACGGCCGGGAGCUCGUGCCACUCAUUCGGCGUAAACAGGCCUCCCAAUAGGCUGGCGCCGGGCCAGGGAACUGCCAAUCAGGAAGCAGCGG